ACCGACUCUUGGAAAGAAGAGGUGGGCCUGGGAGAUCCAGGUUGGAAGGAUCUUGUUUCGCUCUCCCAUUGGCCCCCAACACUGGCCUCAUGGCCCCCUUACUGGCUCCAGGCAUCCGCCUCACCCCCACCACCCAGCCAGCUGGGCCUGUUCCCCUCUCCACUCCCCUCUGCUCCCUCCCUGUAACCUCCCGUCUCCCGCAGAAAGAAAGAAAGAAAAAAAAAGCUUGGAUUAAGUGAUGAGCUGCCCGCCUCUAAAAGGACCAGGAGGCGUAUCAAGCCUGAGUGCCGGAAAACCCACGGCAAUCUUCAGCAGCCACCACGUGGGGCAGAGAACGCGAGCAGUACCUGCAGGACCCACAGCCGGUCGGGCUCUGGCGCCAGCCUCGACGGCGGCCCCGCCAUCUCCGCCCGGCUGCCCGCGGCCUCACCUGCUCCGGGGGCUCGGUUAGCCUCCUGGCGCUGCAAGGCGGCCUGCGCGCGGUUCGCUCCGGGGGAGGGAGGAGGAGGGAGGCGGCGAGGAGCCGACGGCUCCACCUGAUGGAGAAGCGCGGAGAGUCCCUAGACCUCGGAGUGCGCUGCAAGAGGGGAGAGGAGAGAGACCGCCGCCCCUGCUGGAAGCCUUCGCGUCCGGGGGGCGGCGCGCGGGGGACGGGGUCUCUGGACAGUCGGUGGAGGCAGCAGCCCUACAGAGACAGCCGAAAGCCAGCAACUUGGAAAACCGCCCGAAUUCUGGUUUUCUGCACAUCCAGGCUGGCUCCAGGUCUCUUGUGCCCACCGUGCAAGCCGGUGGGAUGCCAGCAGGUGGCAUCCUCUCCAGCGUUUCUUCGCCAGGCGUGGAGUCCGGAGGCCGAAUCCAUCAGUCCCCAGCCCCCUCCCCAAGCCUCCGGUGCCAAGUGCUGGGUCCUGUGAGCCCCUGGCCCCGCCCCCCACCUCCGCCAGCGGGGCGAGCCGGAGCUGGAUGGCCCAGACCCGCGCGGAGGCGGGAGCCUACAGAGGAUGCCGGCCGGCCCCAGGUUCUGCUGCUGGCUGGCCAAGAAGUGACAGGAGGGCAAGGCUCCCCCGGAAAGCGUCCAAGCCCUGCUCUCCUGCUCUUCCAAGCCUUGCUGCCUGUUGCCCCCAGGGUUUUCUGAGUUCUGGGACGAAGAGAGUGAUGCGCAAGGUUCUGGGUCCCGGUGCAGGAGUGAGGGGUACGGCUGUCGAGUGCUCGGAGCAGGCUGGCUUUUGGGCACACUGCAGACCUCAGCUCACCGCCACUUUCUCCUGACCUUCCUCGUGGCUGUCAGCCCAAUGUCUAACAUGUGUUAUUCCCUCGCUUUGUUCAAAGGCCUGUUUUGGAUACUUAAAGACAUGUGGAAUGACUAUGAGAAUUCCUGUUCCUGGAAAGUUUGUCCUCUAGUUGGAAAGAGGUAUAUACAGGUGGAUUACGAGACCUUAACCCCUGCUCCCUGCAGUUGGUCUUUCCAUUGUAGAGGGAAAGGGCUCAGAGAACCAGAUAUUCAACUUUCAGAAGCAUCCCCUGAAGGGCAGGUUGUCUGCUCCCCUGAUUCAUUGAGGAUCAGGCCUCAUGGAGGGAGUCUGCCCCAUGAAGGUGGGGACAGCGCCCCUCUAGUUCACAGCCGUCUCCACAGCUCUUACCCAGGUAGGCAGUAGGCUCUCACUACGUACUGCUGAAUGAAUGGUAAAGUUUUACCUAGUGCCCCACAUUCUAUUUCCUGUUUUCUGAAUCCAAUUUAACUUAUUCUUCCCUCUGUUAUUAAACCAUUGUCAAAC
Molecule: non-coding RNA, 1772 nt
Filed under: Pan troglodytes (chimpanzee)
Lineage: Eukaryota; Metazoa; Chordata; Mammalia; Primates; Hominidae
Source: RNAcentral